UAUGUACUUUCUCCGUCCGGAAAUACUUGUCCUAAAAAUGCAUAUGAUGGAUGUAUCUAUAAUUAAAAUAAGUCUAGAUACAUUCAUCUCUAGGACAAGUAUUUCCAGACCGAGGUAGUAUUAU
Hordeum vulgare subsp. vulgare (domesticated barley) is the source of this 124-nucleotide non-coding RNA. The record is from Rfam. NCBI's taxonomy places the organism in Eukaryota, Viridiplantae, Streptophyta, Magnoliopsida, Poales, Poaceae.